Molecule: small nuclear RNA, 298 nt
Filed under: Phascolarctos cinereus (koala)
Lineage: Eukaryota; Metazoa; Chordata; Mammalia; Diprotodontia; Phascolarctidae
Description: 7SK RNA (ENSPCIG00000020696.2)
Rfam family: 7SK RNA
About the family: 7SK was discovered as an abundant small nuclear RNA in the mid-70s but a possible function has only recently been suggested. Two independent studies have found that 7SK RNA binds the CDK9/cyclin T complex (known as elongation factor P-TEFb).
Source: Rfam by way of RNAcentral
AGAAGUUAAAAUGGUCCCACUGUAACAUCUGCCAACUCGUUGAUCACUCAAGUUGAUUUGGUUGAUGUGACUUGUUAAGAAGGUGUUCCCUUCCUUCCUUUCUACUCCAUAUGACUCCCUUCUGAAGUUGCACCCUUGAUGAAAGAUGGUGACCUCUAAGAGAUGAUAUCAUGAGUAGCUGCAUCCCUCUACUAGAACUAAGUCCCAGUGUUCUUAAAGGAAAGUGUAUAUAAAGGUGUUGGUGGUAGAGGAGAGACUUUAUAUUUUUGAGUGAAUCCCACAACCCCCACCCCAUUGU